UGUAAGCGUAUACCAAAGUUGUUGCAGUUAAAACGCUCGUAGUUGGAUUUCGGAUGGGAUUUGCCGGUCCGUCGUUACGAUGUGCACUGGCCAGUCCUAUCUUGUUGUCGGGGACUAGCUCCUUGGAUUCACUUCCUGGGACUAGGAGCUGACGAGGUUACUUUGAGUAAAUUAGAGUGUUCAAAGCAAGCCUACGCUCUGAAUACAUUAGCAUGGAAUAACACGAUAGGACUCUGGCUUAUCUUGUUGGUCUGUGAGACCAGAGUAAUGAUUAAGAGGGACAGUCGGGGACAUUCGUAUUUCAUUGUCAGAGGUGAAAUUCUUGGAUUUAUGAAAGACGAACUUCUGCGAAAGCAUUUGUCAAGGAUGUUUUCAUUAA
This 379-nucleotide ribosomal RNA is filed under the name uncultured eukaryote. RNAcentral's name for it is "partial 18S ribosomal RNA". It matches the Rfam family "Eukaryotic small subunit ribosomal RNA", at positions 592 to 976 of the family's 1831-position model. The record is from RNAcentral.